This 325-nucleotide ribosomal RNA is filed under the name uncultured eukaryote. RNAcentral's name for it is "partial 18S ribosomal RNA". It matches the Rfam family "Eukaryotic small subunit ribosomal RNA", at positions 1470 to 1796 of the family's 1831-position model. The record is from RNAcentral.
CCCUUAGAUGUUCUGGGCCGCACGCGCGCUACACUGAUGCAUUCAACGAGCCUAUCCUUCACCGACAGGUCCGGGUAAUCUUUGAAUCUGCAUCGUGACGGGGAUAGAUUAUUGCAAUUAUUAAUCUUCAACGAGGAAUGCCUAGUAGGCGCAAGUCAUCAGCUUGCGUCGAUUGCGUCCCUGCCCUUUGUACACACCGCCCGUCGCUCCUACCGAUUGGGUGUGCUGGUGAAAUGUUCGGAUCGGCCGUUUGUCGCGGUUUCCGCGUCAUGUGGCUGAGAAGUUCAUUAAACCCUCCCACCUAGAGGAAGGAGAAGUCGUAACA